Molecule: unclassified non-coding RNA, 288 nt
Organism: Callithrix jacchus (white-tufted-ear marmoset)
Lineage: Eukaryota; Metazoa; Chordata; Mammalia; Primates; Cebidae
Rfam family: Metazoan signal recognition particle RNA
About the family: The signal recognition particle (SRP) is a universally conserved ribonucleoprotein. It is involved in the co-translational targeting of proteins to membranes.
Source: Ensembl
GCUGGGCGCGGUGGCGUGUGCCUGUAGUCCCAGCUACUUGGGAGGCUGAGGUGGGAGGAUAGCUUGAGCCCAGGAGUUCUGGGCUGUAGGGCGCAGUGUCCGCACUAAAUUUGGCAUCAAUAUGGUGACCUCUGGGAGUGGGGGACCACCAGGUUGCCUAAGGAGGGGUGAAGUGGCCCAGGUAGGAAACAGAGCAGGUCAAAACUCCCAUGCUCAUCAGUAGUGGGACCGCACCUGUGAACAGCCACUGCACUCCAGCCUGGGCAACAUAGGGAGAUCCCGUUUCUU